CUCUUAUCAAGAGAGGUGGAGGGACUGGCCCGAUGAAGCCCGGCAACCGGUAGUAUAAGUUCGCAAUACUAUAGCGGUGCCAAAUCCUGCAGCAAAAAUGCUGGAAGAUGAGAA
Molecule: non-coding RNA, 114 nt
Filed under: Selenihalanaerobacter shriftii
Lineage: Bacteria; Bacillati; Bacillota; Clostridia; Halanaerobiales; Halobacteroidaceae
Description: SAM-I sequence
Rfam family: SAM riboswitch aptamer (S box leader)
About the family: The SAM riboswitch is found upstream of a number of genes which code for proteins involved in methionine or cysteine biosynthesis in Gram-positive bacteria. The SAM riboswitch acts at the level of transcription termination control.
Source: Rfam by way of RNAcentral